Molecule: ribosomal RNA, 465 nt
Filed under: uncultured bacterium
Lineage: Bacteria
Description: partial 16S ribosomal RNA
Rfam family: Bacterial small subunit ribosomal RNA
Source: RNAcentral
CCUACGGGAGGCAGCAGUGGGGAAUAUUGCGCAAUGGGCGAAAGCCUGACGCAGCGACGCCGCGUGAGGGAUGAAGGUCUUCGGAUCGUAAACCUCUGUCAGCAGGGAAGAACGGUCACUGUGCUAAUCAGCAGUGAAUUGACGGUACCUGCAAAGGAAGCACCGGCUAACUCAGUGCCAGCAGCCGCGGUAAUACGGAGGGUGCGGGCGUUAAUCGGAAUUACUGGGCGUAAAGCGCUCGUAGUCGGUAUGUCAAGUCCAGGGUCAAAUCCCCGCGCUCAACGGGGGAACUGCCUUUGAAACUGGCGAACUAGAGUGUGUGAGAGGAUAGUGGAAGUCCAGGUGUAGGAGUGAAAUCCGUAGAUAUCUGGAGGAACAUCAGUGGCGAAGGCGACUAUCUGGCACAUAACUGACGCUGAGGAGCGAAAGCGUGGGUAGCAAACAGGAUUAGAUACCCGGGUAGUC